CAGCCUCGUCAUUUUCUGUUGGCUGCCCUACCUCAAACUUUGACCUCUUCAAGUCCCUCCCCUACAUUAUUGACAAUUAUAAGCUCUCUUCAAGGUUAAUGGUGCUUUACUAAUCCCCUUUCUGUGGGCCAGUGGGGCUCAGGCUUUUGAGCAUUUCUGGGGACUCUUGCAUAUUUGCUUCUGGAGCAUUGUAACCUGAGGAAGUCCUUUCGCUUGCACAAGAAUGUGAAGAAAUGACGACCCUAGUAUGGCAUUAUGUAAAAAUGUGAAUGUGUAACCUAUGUGAUUCUGCAAUCUGUAUUUGGGGUAAAAAUGGGAGUUCAUAACUCACUUGAAACUAUUGUUCGAAGUAUGAU
RNAcentral lists this long non-coding RNA (356 nucleotides) under Ictidomys tridecemlineatus (thirteen-lined ground squirrel). RNAcentral's name for it is "lncRNA (ENSSTOG00000033167.1)". The record is from RNAcentral. Lineage: Eukaryota; Metazoa; Chordata; Mammalia; Rodentia; Sciuridae.